RNAcentral lists this ribosomal RNA (253 nucleotides) under uncultured bacterium. Its description in RNAcentral is "partial 16S ribosomal RNA". It matches the Rfam family "Bacterial small subunit ribosomal RNA", at positions 524 to 776 of the family's 1533-position model. The record is from RNAcentral.
UACGUAGGGGGCAAGCGUUGUCCGGAAUUAUUGGGCGUAAAGAGCGCGUAGGCGGUCCGGUAAGUCAGCUGUGAAAGUCAAGGGCUCAACCCUUGAAAGCCGGUUGAUACUGUCGGGCUAGAGUCCGGAAGAGGCGAGUGGAAUUCCCGGUGUAGCGGUGAAAUGCGCAGAUAUCGGGAGGAACACCUGUGGCGAAAGCGGCGCACUGGACCAUAACUGACGCUGAGGCGCGAAAGCUAGGGGAGCAAACAGG